GGAUGCGAUCAUACCAGCACUAAAGCACAGGAUCCCAUCAGAACUCCGAAGUUUAGCGUGCUUGGGCGAGGGUAGUACUAGGAUGGGUGACCUCCUGGGAAGUCCUCGUGUUGCAUUCC
This 119-nucleotide ribosomal RNA is filed under the name Aegilops tauschii subsp. strangulata. The record is from RNAcentral. Lineage: Eukaryota; Viridiplantae; Streptophyta; Magnoliopsida; Poales; Poaceae.